GUGUAUUCCCAGUGCUAGGACCACACCUUGCUCAGCACUGUUGCCCUAAACCGGUCUGGCAAUAUAUGGAAUUUAGCCAUGAAAAUAUUAUUGAAUAAAUGCAUUCCUCAAACAUUUUAUUCUAACCAGAUUCAAAACCUGCAAUUACUUCCUGCUUUCUCCAUGACUUUGAGUAAGUUACUCUCUGAAACUCAUUUUUCCUAUUGUAAUGUCUUAUAACGAUAAGGUUGUCCUGAGGAUCAAAUGUAUUAAGUAAAAUACCAGGCAUGGAACUUGCCAUCUAGUAAGUCCCAAUAGUUCCAUAUCAGAGUUCUCUUGCAGUACUAUUGAAAUAUCAUAAAACCUGUCUUUAAAAAAGCUAGCUUUUUCCUAUUAAAUGAGAUCUUUAGGCAUUCUCUCAUAGUUGUAAUUUCAGUAUAGAAUUUAGCUAUAUGGGAAGACACACUAGCACCUAAUCCCAACUAUUUCUAAACAAAAGUGGCAAUACAAUUUAAGGAUAAUAAGAGGAAAGGCUUCAAUAAAUGCACCGGCUAUCGCAUUCCCCACACAGAAAGCGGGAUUUGUUGUGGCAGUAGAGAAACACAUCAAGGAACGGCCAGAUUGCACCUUUUCCUAUGUUUCACAUUAGGUUGCAAUAAACUUUCCACAUCCACGAGGUAUUAUAACAACAUGUCAAGGCAAUUUUAGAUUUAAUGGUAGAAUGCACAUUCUAGUACAAGGGAGAUAAACUUUAAGCUGGGCAGAAUGAAUGUCCUUUCUAGUUGAGAAGAAACAGGAGGCACCAAAACUUCAACUGUCAUCAGAGCAAAGUAAAACAGUACCUGGAUGUUUGGGGGAUCCUUUGGCACUGCUCUGUAAUGAGGAGGUGUAAGAGACUAAUGCCAAACAUAUUGUUAUAAUUUUGUCCGCCAAAGGAAAAAUUUAGCAUGGUGUUAGCUGUGUUCUUUUUAAAUGUAGCCCCACCCUUUCCUGCUUACUUUCUACAAGUUCAAAAUUAAUUAGGAUCUCCUAGACCUGCUUAUUAAAUGAAAAAAACUCCAUCAACAAAACAAAGUUUUAAAAGCUUUAAUCAUCCAGCAGCUAAAACUUCAUGGUGGAGCUGUGUAAUUUUUUUUUAUUAUACUUUAAGUUUCAGGGUACAUGUGCACAACGUGCAGGUUUGUUACAUAUGUAUACAUGUGCCAUGUUGGUGCUGCACCCAUUAACUCGUCAUUUAACGUUAGGUAUAUCUCCUAAUGCUAUCCCUCCCCGCUCCCCCCACCCCACAACAGGCCCCGGUGUGUGAUGUUCCCCUUUCUGUGUCCAUGUGUUCUCAUUGUUCAAUUCCCACCUAUGAGUGAGAACAUGCGGUGUUUGGUU
Molecule: long non-coding RNA, 1359 nt
Filed under: Homo sapiens (human)
Lineage: Eukaryota; Metazoa; Chordata; Mammalia; Primates; Hominidae
Description: HSALNT0369572
Source: RNAcentral